GACGAACGCUGGCGGCGUGCUUAACACAUGCAAGUCGAGCGGUAAGGCUCCUUCGGGAGUACACGAGCGGCGAACGGGUGAGUAACACGUGAGUAAUCUGCCCUUCACUUCGGGAUAACCACCGGAAACGGUGGCUAAUACCGAAUACGACCAGUCUUCGCAUGAGGUGCUGGUGGAAAGUCUUUUCGGUGAAGGAUGUGCUCGCGGCCUAUCAGCUUGUUGGUGGGGUAAUGGCCUACCAAGGCUUCGACGGGUAGCCGGCCUGAGAGGGUGACCGGCCACACUGGGACUGAGACACGGCCCAGACUCCUACGGGAGGCAGCAGUGGGGAAUAUUGGACAAUGGGCGAAAGCCUGAUCCAGCAACGCCGCGUGAGGGAUGACGGCCUUCGGGUUGUAAACCUCUUUCAGUACCGACGAAGCGCCCUGUCGGGUGGUGACGGUAGGUACAAAAGAAGGACCGGCCAACUACGU
This 473-nucleotide ribosomal RNA is filed under the name uncultured bacterium. RNAcentral describes it as "partial 16S ribosomal RNA". It matches the Rfam family "Bacterial small subunit ribosomal RNA", at positions 28 to 506 of the family's 1533-position model. The record is from RNAcentral.